CCUACGGGAGGCUGCAGUCGAGAAUCAUUCACAAUGGGGGAAACCCUGAUGGUGCGACGCCGCGUGGGGGAAUGAAGGUCUUCGGAUUGUAAACCCCUGUCAUGUGGGAGCAAAUUAAAAAGAUAGUACCACAAGAGGAAGAGACGGCUAACUCUGUGCCAGCAGCCGCGGUACUACAGAGGUCUCAAGCGUUGUUCGGAAUCACUGGGCGUAAAGCGUGCGUAGGCUGUUUCGUAAGUCGUGUGUGAAAGGCGCGGGCUCAACCCGCGGACGGCACAUGAUACUGCGAGACUAGAGUAAUGGAGGGGGAACCGGAAUGCUCGGUGUAGCAGUGAAAUGCGUAGAGAUCGAGAGGAACACUCGUGGCGAAGGCGGGUUCCUGGACAUUAACUGACGCUGAGGCACGAAGGCCAGGGGGGCGAAAGGGAUUAGAUACCCGGGUAGUC
This 446-nucleotide ribosomal RNA is filed under the name uncultured bacterium. RNAcentral describes it as "partial 16S ribosomal RNA". It matches the Rfam family "Bacterial small subunit ribosomal RNA", at positions 338 to 795 of the family's 1533-position model. The record is from RNAcentral.